CCCGUGCAGAUCGCGGGAGAGCCCAAUCACAGGGCGGGGCGAGCCGGGCCGGGCUGCGACCAUUUAUAAUCCUGGGCUCCUCCGCUCCGCCACUUGUCAAGAUGACAGGGGUCGUCCACGAAUAACACUGCACGCUGAUGAAUGGCUCUUGCAUGCUCUCGGCUCUGAUGAGGGGCUUGCCCGCCGCUGAUUGCAAACACUCAUGAACUUGCGGCGCCAUUGGAAAUUCACACGCACCUCCAAAGUGCGGGGGGUGGGCAUUUCGGGUCAGCUGAGUCACCCGAGGAGGUGGGAGAGCCAGGCGCUGCCGGGAAGAUGGACUCCGAGGCAGGAGGGUGUAAUUAAGGACUCCUACUCCAGGUAGGCGGCCGGCCUUUACAAGAGGCUCUGAAAAUGACCCGCGCCUUCGCUUCCAGUGUCCGCUCGCCCGAGACUGAAAAGCGCAAAUGACCUUCGCACGCGGGAAGCCGUCAUACACGAGCCCCAACGCGGCGCCGGCGGAGCACAAGUGUCCAAGCGCCCAGACCUCCCCAGCAACCGCGCGCUGGCCGGUGGAGACGGAUUCUGGAGGCAUCCUAAGGCUCCACGCCUCGCCUUCUCCGACGCCCCCACCCC
This is a long non-coding RNA of Hyaena hyaena (striped hyena), 615 nucleotides long. RefSeq lists it as uncharacterized. The record is from RefSeq and is a predicted model, not a curated record. The transcript has 3 exons. NCBI's taxonomy places the organism in Eukaryota, Metazoa, Chordata, Mammalia, Carnivora, Hyaenidae.